GAGGAUAUAGCUCAGUGGUAGAGCACAUACUUAGCAUGCACAAGGUCCUAGGUUCAAUCCCCAGUAUCUCCA
RNAcentral lists this transfer RNA (72 nucleotides) under Camelus dromedarius (Arabian camel). It matches the Rfam family "tRNA". Rfam says of the family: Transfer RNA (tRNA) molecules are approximately 80 nucleotides in length. Their secondary structure includes four short double-helical elements and three loops (D, anti-codon, and T loops). RNAcentral also lists the same sequence under 1 other name. The record is from Rfam by way of RNAcentral. Lineage: Eukaryota; Metazoa; Chordata; Mammalia; Artiodactyla; Camelidae.